AGUGAACGCUGGCGGUAGGCCUAACACAUGCAAGUCGAACGGCAGCACAGGAUAGCUUGCUCUCUGGGUGGCGGGUGGCGGACGGGUGAGGAAUACAUCGGAAUCUGCCCAGUCGUGGGGGAUAACGUAGGGAAACUUACGCUAAUACCGCAUACGACCUUCGGGUGAAAGAGGGGGAUCGCAAGACCUCUCGCGAUUGGAUGAGCCGAUGUCGGAUUAGCUAGUUGGCGGGGUAAUGGCCCACCAAGGCGACGAUCCGUAGCUGGUCUGAGAGGAUGAUCAGCCACACUGGAACUGAGACACGGUCCAGACUCCUACGGGAGGCAGCAGUGGGGAAUAUUGGACAAUGGGCGCAAGCCUGAUCCAGCCAUACCGCGUGGGUGAAGAAGGCCUUCGGGUUGUAAAGCCCUUUUGUUGGGAAAGAAAUCUUUCAGGCUAAUACCCUGGGAGGAUGACGGUACCCAAAGAAUAAGCACCGGCUAACUUCGUG
Molecule: ribosomal RNA, 490 nt
Filed under: uncultured bacterium
Lineage: Bacteria
Description: partial 16S ribosomal RNA
Rfam family: Bacterial small subunit ribosomal RNA
Source: RNAcentral